Molecule: transfer RNA, 86 nt
Organism: Ascochyta rabiei
Lineage: Eukaryota; Fungi; Ascomycota; Dothideomycetes; Pleosporales; Didymellaceae
Rfam family: tRNA
About the family: Transfer RNA (tRNA) molecules are approximately 80 nucleotides in length. Their secondary structure includes four short double-helical elements and three loops (D, anti-codon, and T loops). Further hydrogen bonds mediate the characteristic L-shaped molecular structure. tRNAs have two regions of fundamental functional importance: the anti-codon, which is responsible for specific mRNA codon recognition, and the 3' end, to which the tRNAs corresponding amino acid is attached (by aminoacyl-tRNA synthetases). tRNAs cope with the degeneracy of the genetic code in two manners: having more than one tRNA (with a specific anti-codon) for a particular amino acid; and 'wobble' base-pairing, i.e. permitting non-standard base-pairing at the 3rd anti-codon position.
Source: Rfam
GGUGUCCUGGCGCAAUGGUAGCGCGUUGGUUUUCGGUUUACGCUGAAACUCGCCAAAGGUUGUAGGUUCGAGCCCUGCGGACAUCG